Molecule: long non-coding RNA, 2308 nt
Filed under: Homo sapiens (human)
Lineage: Eukaryota; Metazoa; Chordata; Mammalia; Primates; Hominidae
Description: long independently transcribed non-coding RNA 3124 (LINC03124)
Source: RNAcentral
AGUUCCUGCGACGCCCCUGCAGCAGCAGCAGCGUGGUCAGAGCGAGCUUCUGAGCGGUGGUUCAUCUGCGUUGCUCUAAAUGGGACUGUUUCAUUAUUUUGAUGGCUGAAGAAUAUUUCCUAGUGUAUGUAUAUGAGAGUUUCUUGAUCUCUUUAUCUGUGGAUGAACAGCUACUUUGAAAUAUAUGAUACAUUUGUGUUAAGGCUAGUCACGCUGCUGUGGAAUAGAAGGCCAGAAUUGAUCACUAUCAUCUGAGAGUAACUUUGUACCCAUCACUGAUUCCUUCCGAGACUGCCUCCACUUCCCCAGCAGCCUCUGAUUUCUUCAUGUGGCUGCAGAUGGCAGGAUUUCCCAAAGGUUUAUGGCUGCAACAUAUUCCGUGGUGUAUCUGUACAGCAGUUUCCUCAUUCCUGCAGCUGUGUUUGAACAGGUCAUUUACCAUGCGGUCCUCCAGGUUCAACAGUAUGGCUCCAAAUGAUGAAAUUUCAUUCUGAUUUUCUGGCUGAAGACUAUUCUGUUUGUGUAUGUCCACCACAGUUACUUUAUCCCUUCAUCUGUGGAUGGGCAGUUGGUUGGCAGAGAAUUUGAACUGGAGAUGAACUUUAUUAUCCAGGAUGCUGAGAGUAUAACAUGCAUGACAGAGCUUUUAGAGCACUGUGAUGUAACAUGUCAAGCAGAAAUAGGGAGCAUGUUUACAGCCAUUCUAUGAAAAAGUGUUCGGAAUGUACAGACUAGCACAGAAGCUGGACUAAUUGAACAAGUAUUGCUGAAAAUGAGUGCUGUAGAUGACAUGAUAGCAGUGGUACAUGAUCAGCAUUGUCCACAUUUACAAUCGAUGGAGAAACAGUGAAAUUCAGUGUUAUGUUAAUGGACAACUGGUAUCUUAUGGUGAUAUGGCUUGGCAUGUUAACACAAAUGACAGCUAUGACAAGUGCUUUCUUGGAUCAUCAGAAACUGCUGAUGCAAAUAGGGUAUUCUGUGGUCAACUUGGUGCCGUGUAUGUGUUCAGUGAAGCACUCAACCCAGCACAGAUAUUUGCAAUUCAUCAGUUAGGACCUAGAUAUAAGAGUACCUUCAAGUUUAAAUCUGAGAGUGAUAUUCAUUUGGCAGAACAUCAUAAACAGGUUUUGUAUGAUGGGAAACUUGCAAGUAGCAUUACCUUUACAUAUACUGCUAAGGCCACUGAUGCUCAACUCUGCCUGGAAUCAUCACCAAAAGAGAAUGCAUCAAUUUUUGUGCAUUCCCAACAUGCUCUAAUGCUUCAGAUUCAAGUGCUUUUUCCACUGUUUCCCCAAUUGGAUAAUCGGCAGCUCAAUGACAGUCAAGUGGAAACAACUGUCUGGGGCCUAAUGUCCACCUAAGACGUGGUGUUCACCUGGGGUCUGAUGUUCAGCUGAAGACUGGAUGUCCACCUGGAGCUGAGGAAUCCACCCAGGGACUGGUGUUGAACUGGGGCCUGAUGACCACCGGGGGACAAGGUAUCCACACCAGGCUUGAUGUCCACCUGUCACCAGAUGUCUACCUCCUGCUUCAGGUGCAGAAAUACAGCGAUUUCCAGUGCCAGCUGUUGAGCCAGUGCCAGCACCAGGGGCAGAUUCCCCUCCAGGGACAGCGCUGGAGCUAGAGGAAGCUCCAGAGCCCUCCUGCCGCUGCCCUGGGACUGCCCAGGACCAGCCCAGUGAGGAGCUGCCUGACUUCAUGGCACCUCCUGUAGAGCCACCGGCCUCAGCCCUGGAGCUGAAAGUGUGGCUGGAGCUAGAGGUGGCAGAGAGGGGUGGCCAGCACAGCUCCAGCCAGCAGCUCCCACACUGCUCCCAGUCCUGGGCACAGUGGAAGCUAUGGAGGCAGAGACCAGGGUUUGCAAUCUGGGCUCCUCUGCCUCACUGGAGAGGGACUUCUCUCAUUCAGCAGAGCAGCAGCCCUGCUGCUGAAGGGCCUGCUGCUACUGCUGCUGGGGCUGUUUGCCUGCCUGCAGGAGGUGCUGGAGAGCAAGAAAAGGAGCCUGUGAGCAGGGGUUCCAGCAGGUCCUCCUGCUCCCAGAGGCGACCUCCUCCUCCAGGCAUGGAGGUUUGCCCUCAGCUGGGCAUCUGGGCCAUUUGCCCCUAACGUGCUGCCCAGGAUGGCCUCCUCUUGACAGGCGGACAGGGGGUGAGGGGGCCAGGGGGCAUCUCCAAAGGAAGCUUUUAAACUCAGCAGCUGCACCCCAGAAUCUGUAUGCCUGCACCUGCCCAAGGAUUUAUUCAUAGCUUACCUAAGAAUUUCAAAUUUCUACCAUAACACUGAAUAAAGUUUGACUUUUUGAAACUUC